Mastomys coucha (southern multimammate mouse) is the source of this 318-nucleotide long non-coding RNA. RefSeq lists it as uncharacterized. The record is from RefSeq and is a predicted model, not a curated record. NCBI's taxonomy places the organism in Eukaryota, Metazoa, Chordata, Mammalia, Rodentia, Muridae. The transcript has 2 exons.
ACUUAGUUGACACAGAGAGACUGGGAGAACGGACAGAUGCCAUCUCCAGGAACAGUGGAGGCAGGAAGGGGAUCUUCCCUGGUUCUGAUGCUUCAAAUAUUUGCAAUGAGGAGAUAAUCAAGCAGGCAGUUCAGCUCUGGAUCGGCCAGCCUGUGUUCAUAUCCUGACUCACCCACCAUGAGCAGAGGGUCUGACAGCAACACCACCAACAACAACAACACCCCCCCAUCCCUUUGAUCCCUGUGUUUGUAGUAGAAGCCCCCUGAUAAAGUGGUCAUGGGGGUGACUCAGUUGAAUAAAAAAACCACUUAGCACAAG